GAAUGUAUAAUUGCUCUACAUUAUAUAUAUAUAUAUAUAUAUAGUACUAUGCUAUUGGAAGUAUAGAAUAUCUGAUCGAUGCUUCUGACUUUUUGACCCUUAGAUGUUGCCCUUUAAUUAUUUUUAGCCUUUGGAUUAAAACUAUUACCCUGUGGAGAGGAGCGUAAUUAUUCCAACCGUAUAAUUCUUUAUCAAGGGUCAAAAAAUCGAAAAUAUCAAAUCCUGUGUGUGUAUAUAUGUAUUGUUGUAUGGAAUGGAAUGUUAUUAAAUAUAGCAUCAGAGGGGAUAUAUGAUA
RNAcentral lists this long non-coding RNA (295 nucleotides) under Ananas comosus (pineapple). RNAcentral describes it as "long non-coding RNA (ACOM_LNC032143)". The record is from RNAcentral. Lineage: Eukaryota; Viridiplantae; Streptophyta; Magnoliopsida; Poales; Bromeliaceae.